RNAcentral lists this long non-coding RNA (207 nucleotides) under Mytilus galloprovincialis (Mediterranean mussel). Lineage: Eukaryota; Metazoa; Mollusca; Bivalvia; Mytilida; Mytilidae. The record is from RNAcentral.
GGGAAUAUAUUAGAGUGGCAAACUUUCUGGGAUUCGUAUGAAUGCGCCAUACAUUUAAACCCUUCAUUGACCGAUGUCCAGAAAUUUAAUUACCUCAAAGCACAGUUACAGAAUGAAGCAUUACGCACCAUAGCUGGUUUUGCACUUACUAAUGCAAACUACGCAGACGCCAUUAUUUUAUUGAAGGAGAGAUUCGGACAAACACAC